GUGUCAGCAGCCGCGGUAAUACAGAGGGGGCGAGCGUUGUUCGGAAUUACUGGGCGUAAAGGGCGCGUAGGCGGCCGACUAAGUCAGACGUGAAAUCCCCAGGCUCAACUUGGGAACUGCGUCUGAUACUGGACGGCUCGAAUCCGGGAGAGGGAUGUGGAAUUCCAGGUGUAGCGGUGAAAUGCGUAGAUAUCUGGAGGAACACCGGUGGCGAAGGCGGCAUCCUGGACCGGUAUUGACGCUGAUGCGCGAAAGCCAGGGGAGCAAACGGGAUUAGAUACCCCGGUAGUCCUGGCCCUAAACGAUGAAUGCUUGGUGUGGCGGGUAUCGAUCCCUGCCGUGCCGAAGCUAACGCAUUAAGCAUUCCGCCUGGGGAGUACGGUCGCAAGGCUGAA
Molecule: ribosomal RNA, 395 nt
Filed under: uncultured bacterium
Lineage: Bacteria
Description: bacterial SSU rRNA
Rfam family: Bacterial small subunit ribosomal RNA
Source: RNAcentral